RNAcentral lists this ribosomal RNA (581 nucleotides) under bacterium 3g12710. RNAcentral describes it as "bacterial SSU rRNA". It matches the Rfam family "Bacterial small subunit ribosomal RNA", at positions 314 to 905 of the family's 1533-position model. The record is from RNAcentral.
UGGGACUGAGACACGGCCCAGACUCCUACGGGAGGCAGCAGUGGGGAAUAUUGCACAAUGGGCGAAAGCCUGAUGCAGCGACGCCGCGUGAGGGAUGACGGCCUUCGGGUUGUAAACCUCUUUCAGCAGGGAAGAAGCGCAAGUGACGGUACCUGCAGAAGAAGCACCGGCUAACUACGUGCCAGCAGCCGCGGUAAUACGUAGGGUGCGAGCGUUGUCCGGAAUUAUUGGGCGUAAAGAGCUCGUAGGCGGCUUGUCACGUCGGUUGUGAAAGCCCGGGGCUUAACCCCGGGUCUGCAGUCGAUACGGGCAGGCUAGAGUGUGGUAGGGGAGAUCGGAAUUCCUGGUGUAGCGGUGAAAUGCGCAGAUAUCAGGAGGAACACCGGUGGCGAAGGCGGAUCUCUGGGCCAUUACUGACGCUGAGGAGCGAAAGCGUGGGGAGCGAACAGGAUUAGAUACCCUGGUAGUCCACGCCGUAAACGUUGGGAACUAGGUGUUGGCGACAUUCCACGUCGUCGGUGCCGCAGCUAACGCAUUAAGUUCCCCGCCUGGGGAGUACGGCCGCAAGGCUAAAACUCAAA